CAACACAUCCGGUUAGCCGUUAGCAUAAUCAUGCACAUAUGAAAUACGAACUCAACCGGUAAAGCCUCAAAUCAUCUUGUCAAUCACUCAUCACAAAUAGAUCAAGGCACUUCUCAACUUGGUCUCUCAAUAUCCUCCUUGAUAAGUGCAUUGACAAAAGAUGAUUUGAAAGCAAAAGAUAACUCAUUCAAGUGCCCAAAAGCCAAGUAAAAGCAAACACAAGGCAACUUGAUAUGAGAAAGGAUCAUGCAAGCUCCAAUGAAAAAUUCUAGGUUGCAUCAAAGCCAUUUCUCAAUUUCCCCCUGAUGAAUCCCAUAAGACAACAAAAGAGUCAAGCGAAUGACACAAGUGCUUCAUGAAUCCCAAAAUGUCGUCAAAGCCAUUCAACAUUUGUCAAACACUCAUCACUAUAAAAUCAAGGUUCAUAUCAACUUGAUUUUCUCAAUCUCCC
RNAcentral lists this long non-coding RNA (451 nucleotides) under Setaria viridis. RNAcentral's name for it is "long non-coding RNA (SVIR_LNC004453)". Lineage: Eukaryota; Viridiplantae; Streptophyta; Magnoliopsida; Poales; Poaceae. The record is from RNAcentral.